This 447-nucleotide ribosomal RNA is filed under the name uncultured bacterium. RNAcentral's name for it is "bacterial SSU rRNA". It matches the Rfam family "Bacterial small subunit ribosomal RNA", at positions 329 to 793 of the family's 1533-position model. The record is from RNAcentral.
CGCCAGACUCCUACGGGAGGCAGCAGUGGGGAAUAUUGCACAAUGGGGGGAACCCUGAUGCAGCGACGCCGCGUGAGCGAUGAAGUAUUUCGGUAUGUAAAGCUCUAUCAGCAGGGAAGAAAAUGACGGUACCUGACUAAGAAGCCCCGGCUAACUACGUGCCAGCAGCCGCGGUAAUACGUAGGGGGCAAGCGUUAUCCGGAUUUACUGGGUGUAAAGGGGGCGCAGACGGCGAUGCAAGCCAGGGGUGAAAGCCCGGGGCCCAACCCCGGGACUGCCCUUGGAACUGCAUGGCUGGAGUGCGGGAGGGGCAGGCGGAAUUCCUGGUGUAGCGGUGAAAUGCGUAGAUAUCAGGAGGAACACCGGCGGCGAAGGCGGCCUGCUGGACCGCGACUGACGUUGAGGCCCGAAAGCGUGGGGAGCGAACAGGAUUAGAUACCCCAGUAC